AUAAAACAUUCCGUCCUGUAGAAAGUUAUGUUGGACAGUGCUAGACCUUUCACCAAAGCCCUUUCCACUGUACCUUAAUGAGUCAGUUCCUCAUCUGUAACACCUUAUCGCCUUUAAUACUGUGUCACAUAUUUCGAUAAAUAGUUUAAAGGUGGAAAGAAUGUGUGAAACAUUUUUCCUACUUGUAUUCAGUUUUGAUUGUCCUCAGCGAUUCAUGGAGUGUGUGAAGUUAUUUCAGACAUCAGCAGCCUUAAGUGAGCAAUCACAGGGUUGAGUUCUUCAGACAGAAUGAGAAAGAAUGGACUUAUUCAGGCUUUGUCUGCCUCAUGUGAAAUGAAAAGUUAAUUCUGGUCUGUAUCAAAUGAAAGUAACUUCCUGGUUGAAGUUUGGUUUUUUUUGGUACUGGGGCUCAAACUUGGGACCUUGCACUUGCAAGGCGGGUGCUGGAACCACUUUGCUAAAUCCCCGGCCCCUGGUUGAAGUUUUAAACAUCUCUGCUCAAUUUAUUUUCUGUAAGGAUCUCAGCACCCAGUUAAUUUUGGCUUUUAGUAAUCUAAUAUUGAUGGUUCUUUUUAUUUGUCCUUUAUAAUCCUUGUUAUGGCUUGUAUCUAGGUGUCUUCCCCAAAGUCUCAUGUGAUAGGUUGGGCUUUUUUCAGACUAUUUCUCCUCUGCAAUGUCCCCCUGUCAUGCCACCCUGCCUUGGAGCCAGCCAAUUAUUGACUGAAACCUCUACAAACUGUGAGCUGAAUAAAACUUUCCUCCUUUAAUGCUGGGUGUCAGGAAUUUUGUCUCAGCAACGAGAAAAGUAACAAUCCUGAACAGUACCUGGCACAGAGGAGGCACUCAAUAAAUAUUUGAUGAAUACAUGAAUGAAGACUUUUCAUCUUUCAUCAGUUGGAAGCAGGAUGCAUUUCAAUCAACUAUGCAAAUCAGUCUUAAGCAGUCUUUGAGAAUUAUGUGACUAAGAAGAUGGAAGUCAAAUGGUUUCCGUAGUCUAUGAGGGUUAUACAGAUGAAUGUGUCCUCUGUUUCAUGAUGUGAUCCUCAACUGAUAGAGCUUUGUAUAUAGGGACCAGAGCAACAUGGGCAGUUUUAAGGUUAUGUCAAUAUCUUAGUCGUUUUGUGCUGCUAUAAAAAAUACCCAAAACUGCCAAACUUACAAGGUACAUGGAUCUAUUGGAUCACAGUUCUGGAGGCCAGGAAGUCUAAGGUCAAGGAAAUGGCCAUUGUCUUUUUCCAAGAUAACAACCUGUAUGUCAAGUUCUCUGAGAGAGAGGAAGACUGGAUCUUCAUUAGGCAAAAUGCAAAAGGCCAAGAGGCAAAAGUUGGCAGA
This is a long non-coding RNA of Heterocephalus glaber (naked mole-rat), 1332 nucleotides long. The record is from Ensembl. NCBI's taxonomy places the organism in Eukaryota, Metazoa, Chordata, Mammalia, Rodentia, Bathyergidae.